RNAcentral lists this ribosomal RNA (686 nucleotides) under Dothideomycetes sp. ES90. Its description in RNAcentral is "LSU rRNA". It matches the Rfam family "Eukaryotic large subunit ribosomal RNA", at positions 91 to 833 of the family's 3401-position model. Lineage: Eukaryota; Fungi; Ascomycota; Dothideomycetes. The record is from RNAcentral.
GAGUGAAGCAGCAAUAGCUCAAAUUUGAAAUCUGGGUCUGAGUUGUAAUUUGUAGAGGAUGCUUCUGGGCAGCCCGACCUAAGUUCCUUGGAACAGGACGUCAUAGAGGGUGAGAAUCCCGUAUGGUCGGAAAGGCACCCUACACAGCUCCUUCGACGAGUCGAGUUGUUUGGGAAUGCAGCUCUAAAUGGGAGGUAAAUUUCUUCUAAAGCUAAAUAUUGGCCAGAGACCGAUAGCGCACAAGUAGAGUGAUCGAAAGAUGAAAAGCACUUUGGAAAGAGAGUUAAAAAGCACGUGAAAUUGUUGAAAGGGAAGGGAUUGCAACCAGACUUGCUCGCGGUUUCCGCCGGUCUUCUGACCGGUUCAUUCGGCGUGCAGGCCAGCAUCGUCUGGUGCCGCUGGAUAAGACUUGAGGAAUGUAGCUCCGGGAGUGUUAUAGCCUCUUGUAUGCACGAGCGCCGGGCGAGGUCCGCGCUUCGGCUAGGAUGCUGGCGUAAUGGUUGUAAUCCGCCCGUCUUGAAACACGGACCAAGGAGUCUAACAUCUAUGCGAGUGUUCGGGUGUCAAACCCCUACGCGUAAUGAAAGUGAACGGAGGUGAGAACGGUGCAUCAUCGACCGAUCCUGAUGUCUUCGGAUGGAUUUGAGUAUGAGCAUAGCUGUUGGGACCCGAAAGAUGGUGAACUA